This is a long non-coding RNA of Macaca fascicularis (crab-eating macaque), 1768 nucleotides long. Lineage: Eukaryota; Metazoa; Chordata; Mammalia; Primates; Cercopithecidae. The record is from Ensembl.
AUGUUUUGUUUGGCAAGAACCAUUUCUUUGAACAAUUUCUUAUUAAUCAUCUAUAAUUUUUCACUUCUGACAGUGUUAUCACCAGUGCUUUCAGUAACUGCAUAUUUAUACAACAGCCAAACUUCAACCUGUAUUCAGUUUUUAUCUGUCUCCUGGGAAUGUAAUUUGGAAAAAAAGUUACCAAUGUAUUUACAACCAAAUUUCAGAUCUUCAACAUUACAGAAGGGUUUUGGAAGUCUGGAUUGCAGUGGGGCAUUUUAUGUUAAAAAAUCAUCUUCCCAUUCUGAUCUUUGCAAAAAUUUUUCUGUUCCGGCCGGGCGCGGUGGCUCAAGCCUGUAAUCCCAGCACUUUGGGAGGCCGAGGCGGGCGGAUCACGAGGUCAGGAGAUCGAGACCAUCCUGGCUGACACGGUGAAACCCCGUCUCUACUAAAAAUUACAAAAAACUAGCCGGGCGAGGUGGCGGGCGCCUGUAGUCCCAGCUACUGGGGAGGCUGAGGCAGGAGAAUGGCGUGAACCCAGGAGGCGGAGCUUGCAGUGAGCUGAGAUCCGGCCACUGCACUCCAGCCUGGGCGGCAGAGCGAGACACCGUCUCAAAAAAAAAAAAAAAAAAAAAAUUUUUCUGUUCCUUAAAUUUGUUCAGAGUAAGAGAUUGCAGAUUGCUUCUGUGGACUUAUUGAAGGUAAGUAUUAUCUCUUAAUAUUUGCAUCUCCAGUGUCUGGCACAUUGCUUGGUGGUGAGGAGGAACUCAAUAAAUGUUUGUUGGGUGAGUAAGUAAUAUUUGUGAAAGUGUUUUGUAGACUAUGAAACUGCACAAACGAAAGAUCACAAGGAUGAUUGCUUACAAAGCUCAGAAAUUGAAGUGGAACUCUUUUCUUAAUGUAAUACACAUAUACACUUUACACAUUUUCUCUUUGAAGAGUGGCUGCAUUUUUUUUUUUUUAAAUGGAACACUGGGCUACUUUUAAACAUUGAAAUCAAAAUGUACAUGCCCACUUUUUAUUAGUAGUUGCUCCAUUUGCUCUUCCAGCUUUGACUCAAAAACAUCUAUUUGUAUACUUAGUAUCACUGUCCUUGGUUACCUCCAUCCCUUGCCUUCUCACCCAUCUUUAGUCUGCCAUAUGGUCUUGACAUAGAUUUUCAACUGUUAGACUGUCAGACUUUCAAGGAUGCAUUUUAAGAAAUCAGUUUCUUUGAAAGCACUUGAACCGGAAGUCAAAUGGCAUGAUGUAAACCAAUAGUUUUUCAAUGAAGAAAUGAAAACCCUUGAUAAUUACAAAUAAGGAAUCUAACCUAUUGACACCAAUUUGGUUAUACUGUAUUGAUUCCUGCAAAAAUAUUAUGAGAGAGUGGGCUACUUAUACUCUACUGAUCAGAUUACAAGUAUACUUAGUAAAGACAGAAGUAGUAUAGGCAUGAAAGAGUUUACCUUAAAAUGUCACCUGAUGUUAGUUGUCUCUCACUGAUUCUAGUAAUUUCCUUUAUUCAGGUGGAUCUGGCUGUUGGUGGAGAUCCCUAGACUGCAUGAGGCCAUGGGCAUGAUCUGGAGACACAGCAGGUGAGUCCAACAUGUCAAGGGCAGAUGACAAUGAACAGAAAAAGCUGGUCUUGCUACUUUCUCAGUAACAGUGACUAGCAGUGUGUAUGAGGAGAUCAAAAUUCUAAAGGUUCCCACAAAUUUCUCAGUUUCCUAUUUAGGGCUUCAGGUCUUUGCAGAUAAUCUUCCAGAUAUGGUCUUUGUCUGUUUUCCUUAUUUUUCUGUAAACUGGU